Molecule: ribosomal RNA, 405 nt
Filed under: Verrucomicrobiota bacterium
Lineage: Bacteria; Pseudomonadati; Verrucomicrobiota
Description: Verrucomicrobia bacterium partial 16S ribosomal RNA
Rfam family: Bacterial small subunit ribosomal RNA
Source: RNAcentral
UGGGGAAUAUUGCACAAUGGGGGAAACCCUGAUGCAGCGACGCCGCGUGAGCGAUGAAGGCUUUCGAGUCGUAAAGCUCUGUCCUAUGGGAAGAUAAUGACGGUACCAUAGAAGAAAGCCCCGGCUAAUUACGUGCCAGCAGCCGCGGUAAUACGUAAGGGGCGAGCGUUGUCCGGAAUUAUUGGGCGUAAAGAGUGCGUAGGCGGCAAAUUAAGUCAGAUGUGAAAACUAAGGGCUCAACCCAUAGAUUGCAUCUGAAACUGAUAUGCUUGAGUCAAGGAGAGGAAAGUGGAAUUCCUAGUGUAGCGGUGGAAUGCGUAGAUAUUAGGAGGAAUACCGGUGGCGAAGGCGACUUUCUGGACUUGAACUGACGCUGAGGCACGAAAGCGUGGGGAGCAAACAGGA